This 301-nucleotide ribosomal RNA is filed under the name uncultured bacterium. RNAcentral's name for it is "partial 16S ribosomal RNA". It matches the Rfam family "Bacterial small subunit ribosomal RNA", at positions 509 to 807 of the family's 1533-position model. The record is from RNAcentral.
CAGUAGCCGCGGUAAUACGUAGGGUGCAAGCGUUAAUCGGAAUUACUGGGCGUAAAGCGUGCGCAGGCGGUUUUGCAAGUCAGAUGUGAAAUCCCCGGGCUCAACCUGGGAACUGCAUUUGAAACUACAAGGCUAGAGUGUGUCAGAGGGGGGUAGAAUUCCACGUGUAGCAGUGAAAUGCGUAGAGAUGUGGAGGAAUACCGAUGGCGAAGGCAGCCCCCUGGGAUAACACUGACGCUCAUGCACGAAAGCGUGGGGAGCAAACAGGAUUAGAUACCCGUGUAGUCCCUGUCUCUUAUAC